AACGAACGCUGGCGGCAUGCCUAACACAUGCAAGUCGAACGAGACCUUCGGGUCUAGUGGCGCACGGGUGCGUAACGCGUGGGAAUCUGCCCUUGGGUUCGGAAUAACUCAGAGAAAUUUGAGCUAAUACCGGAUGAUGACGUAAGUCCAAAGAUUUAUCGCCCAAGGAUGAGCCCGCGUAAGAUUAGCUUGUUGGUAGGGUAAUGGCCUACCAAGGCGACGAUCUUUAGCUGGUCUGAGAGGAUGAUCAGCCACACUGGGACUGAGACACGGCCCAGACUCCUACGGGAGGCAGCAGUGGGGAAUAUUGGACAAUGGGCGAAAGCCUGAUCCAGCAAUGCGCGUGAGUGAUGAAGGCCUUAGGGUUGUAAAGCUCUUUUACCUAGGGAUGAUAAUGACAGUACCUGGAGAAUAAGCUCCGGCUAACUCCGUG
This 433-nucleotide ribosomal RNA is filed under the name uncultured bacterium. RNAcentral describes it as "bacterial SSU rRNA". It matches the Rfam family "Bacterial small subunit ribosomal RNA", at positions 29 to 507 of the family's 1533-position model. The record is from RNAcentral.